Molecule: long non-coding RNA, 2514 nt
Organism: Marmota monax (woodchuck)
Lineage: Eukaryota; Metazoa; Chordata; Mammalia; Rodentia; Sciuridae
Exons: 2
Source: RefSeq, a predicted model, not a curated record
CCGGCCCCGCCGAGGGCCCGGGAUCCAGGCGGAGCUACACGCCCCCUCCGCUCCCCAGGCCUGGCGCGAUCGAGCGCGCCCGCGGCUCAGCUAGCCAGCCGGGGUCCUUCCCCUGGCUUUAGCUCCAGGGCUAUAGGGCUUCUGGCCCUAAGGACCUAAGAGAGGACAAGAGCUUUGGAAAAGGACAGCACGCAGAGAUGUCACCCGGAAGGCACCUCGACACUUGCACCAAUGCAAACUCCCGAGGACCCCAGCUGGCUCGGGCAAACGUCUCGCGCAUUCGUGCGAUCGGCUGCGGCGGGUCCCCCAACUUCUCUUGAAGACCGAGAGAUAUAUUAAACCUUAACGAUUUUAUUGUCCCACUUUCCAGACAGGAACACUGAGGCCAGAUGGGGGCGACCCCUUUUCGGACCUGGUGGCGGGACCGCCACCUUUUCAAACUAAAGGUGAGUUUGCAGAGUUCUCCGGGCUCCUCUCCCUGAACCUUGUACCGACGUCUGGGUCCGCCCCACCUGGGCCCUGGCAGUGGCCCCGGGGUCGGCGAGGAAGACGAGGCUCCCUGCGAGCGCCCCAGGCCUUACCUCUGCAGCAGAGCGUGUCCUCGCAGAGCGCGCUGGCCGGAGGCCCCAGCAGCGGCAGGGAGGCCCAGGCCAGGGCGCGGGAGGCCGUGCCGCCGGCUCCCAUCCCGGACGGGCUUUGCCGCUCCCGGUCCCGCGGGCCUUCCACCCUCCGCGGCACCUGUGGGGCCAGCGCUGUGCCCGCGGUCUCGGCUUCGGGGUCAGUCCCCGGCCAGGCCCGGAUGGGCGCUGAGCAGGGCUCCCUCAAUUCCUGGGUCUGCCCGGGCUCCGACUCCCACUGCGGCGGCCCCGGCAGGGCGCUAUUUUUAGCGAGAGCUGCUCUCCCAGUCCGACAGACAGAACCAGUUAAUUCGGCAGCUCGGGAAGGGCCUGCAUAGGGAGCUCCCCGGAAAGGCAGCCGCAGCUCUGCUGAAAGCUGAUCCUUCGCAUUCCUGCCUCUCGAGGCGGGAGGGCGGGAGGACGCCUCUAAUUCCAGAGGGAAGCUGGCGUCCUCUCUGGAGGCAGCCCUGGGCCCAAGUGCACGCCCAGGUUGGCUCUAAACCGGCUCUGAAAUCUGGCCUGACCUCCUUACACCGACCUCAAGACCUCAAGCUUCCUAUGAUGUCCCACAACGUGCACACCUGCAGUACCCCCCCCCCCUUCUGGCUGAUCUCCCGCACUAGGAAGGGCCCUGAAAAUGGGGUCUGGGCUCCAGCAUCUGCUCACCAUCAUCACUCAGAAGCUACUUGAUGAAUGAAGGGGAAGAGGAGUGAACAUCAGAUACAGGGUCUGUAGACCCUGGACAAUAAAGAAUUCAUGGACAGGGUGGACAAUAUGGGGUGAAUAGAUGGGGGUGGCUUUGAAAGCUUGCAGAAGAUUUUGAAAUCUUACAAAACUCCAAAUCCAACACUUUCUGGUUGUGUGACUUUGGCAAGCCACCUCACCUCUGUCCUCAGUUUCCUCUUCUGCAAAAAGGAGUUUGGGGUCCCAGGACAGUCUAUGGAAUACCCUUUUGUAAGCAAAAGUAUUACAUCCAUUACAUGGAUGUUCAUGUAAUGAGUGAAAAUGCAAAGAAUAAGACAUUCGGAUCUGCUCUCAAGAAGGCACUUGCUCUUUUAAUUCAAAGUAUAAGCCUAGAAAGGUACAAGACCAAGUGGUACUGGACUAAGGAUAAAUAGUCCAGUGAACUAGAAUAAAGACUGCAAAAACAGACCCACACAUAUAUGGAAGCAAUAUUUGGCAGAGGUGACACGGCAGAUCUGUGGGGAAAAGGUUCAAAUGUCAUGGGUGCUGGGCAUGGUGCUGCACACCUAUAAUCCCAGUGUCUCAGAGGCUGAGGCAGGAGGAUUGCAGGUUCAAAGUCAUUCCCAGCAACUGAGUGAGGCCCUAAGCAACUCAGUCAGACUCUGUCUUAAAAUAGAAUGCAGAAAAUAGCUGGGGAUGUGGCUCAGUGGCUAAGUGCCCCUGGGUUCAAUCCCCAGUUCUAAAAAAAAAAGUGACUUGGGAUCCCUAUCUCACACCACACAUAAAAUAUCAAUUCCAGAUGUACUGAAGACUUAAACACACAUGCACACAAUAUAAGAGGAAAGGAUUUCUUGAAAAAGAUAUGAAAAGCACAAAUCAUCAAGAAAAGGAUGGAUACAUUUAAUUAAAAUAUGAAACUCCUUUUUUUUUUAAACCCAGUGCCUCACACAUGCCAAGUGAGCACUCUACACUGAGCCACAACCCCAGCCCCUGAAACUCCUUUUUAUCAAGGGAAAUAUGUGCGACACAAGCUCCAAAAUAUACAAAGGCCUUUCAUAAAUCAAUUUUCAAAAGAAACAAUAGAAAAUUGGGGAAAUAUAUGAACAGGCAAUUUGCAGGAAAGGAACGAUGAAUGGCCAAUAAACAUAUGCAAAGAUUGUUAGCCUCACUUGUAAUCCGGGGAAAUGCAAAAUAAAACCUCUGUAAAGUGUCA